UAGGGAAUCUUCGGCAAUGGGGGCAACCCUGACCGAGCAACGCCGCGUGAGUGAAGAAGGUUUUCGGAUCGUAAAGCUCUGUUGUAAGAGAAGAACGUGUGUGAGAGUGAAAAGUUCACACAGUGACGGUAACUUACCAGAAAGGGACGGCUAACUACGUGCCAG
Molecule: ribosomal RNA, 165 nt
Filed under: uncultured bacterium
Lineage: Bacteria
Description: partial 16S rRNA
Rfam family: Bacterial small subunit ribosomal RNA
Source: RNAcentral